Molecule: ribosomal RNA, 301 nt
Filed under: uncultured bacterium
Lineage: Bacteria
Description: partial 16S ribosomal RNA
Rfam family: Bacterial small subunit ribosomal RNA
Source: RNAcentral
CAGUAACCGCGGUAAUACGUAGGGUGCAAGCGUUAAUCGGAAUUACUGGGCGUAAAGCGUGCGCAGGCGGUUAUGUAAGACAGUUGUGAAAUCCCCGGGCUCAACCUGGGAACUGCAUCUGUGACUGCAUAGCUAGAGUACGGUAGAGGGGGAUGGAAUUCCGCGUGUAGCAGUGAAAUGCGUAGAUAUGCGGAGGAACACCGAUGGCGAAGGCAAUCCCCUGGACCUGUACUGACGCUCAUGCACGAAAGCGUGGGGAGCAGACAGGAUUAGAUACUCGCGUAGUCCCUGUCUCUUAUAC